This is a non-coding RNA of Pelobates cultripes (western spadefoot toad), 300 nucleotides long. The record is from the annotation of a GenBank genome assembly. NCBI's taxonomy places the organism in Eukaryota, Metazoa, Chordata, Amphibia, Anura, Pelobatidae.
GUAAACCUUAGUGCCUCUGCAAAAAUAAAAAUGUGUCAUAAUUUGAUUAUUGAGAACACACAAUACUGAUUGGAAAACAUCUACACUUUCUGUCACGAACGCACCCAACUUCAAGAGUGUGUGUGAUGUAGUUGCGGUGGUGAAAGGGUUAAAAUUGACUAUUUGUCUGCACUAGACCGGAAAUAAUGAUAAAAUCCCACUUAACACCACCCACACUUAAGCAUAAUAAUAUAAAUAUUACUAUUUUAACGCUGCCACCACCAAGACAAUUUAUAAAUGGGGUGCCUUGGUCCCCCAGGU